This 262-nucleotide long non-coding RNA is filed under the name Elaeis guineensis (African oil palm). RNAcentral describes it as "long non-coding RNA (EGUI_LNC058591)". The record is from RNAcentral. Lineage: Eukaryota; Viridiplantae; Streptophyta; Magnoliopsida; Arecales; Arecaceae.
CUAGGUAAUAAGAACAUUAUCAAAAAUAUUGUGCCCGCCAGCAAACACCCCCCUCCAGACAAUCAAUUGAGGAAGAAUAGGCUUCAUCCUACACACCAUCAGCUUUACACAAAUCUUAUAGAGGGUAGUGUAUAAGCUAAGCAGUCUGAAGUGACUAGGUUCUGAAACAUCCUAUCUCUUUAGAACCAGGGUUAUGAAUGUCUGCUUCCACAUCCCUGACAUCUAACUGGUAGCAAAGAACUCCUGCACUGCUGCAACCACC